RNAcentral lists this ribosomal RNA (801 nucleotides) under uncultured beta proteobacterium. RNAcentral describes it as "bacterial SSU rRNA". It matches the Rfam family "Bacterial small subunit ribosomal RNA", at positions 75 to 875 of the family's 1533-position model. Lineage: Bacteria; Pseudomonadati; Pseudomonadota; Betaproteobacteria. The record is from RNAcentral.
GGGGGCAACCCCUUGAGAGUGGCGAACGGGUGAGUAAUAUAUCGGAACGUGCCCAGUCGUGGGGGAUAACGUAGUGAAAAUUACGCUAAUACCGCAUACGAUCUAAGGAUGAAAGCGGGGGAUCGCAAGACCUCGCGCGACUGGAGCGGCCGAUAUCAGAUUAGGUAGUUGGUAGGGUAAAGGCCUACCAAGCCAACGAUCUGUAGCUGGUCUGAGAGGACGACCAGCCACACUGGAACUGAGACACGGUCCAGACUCCUACGGGAGGCAGCAGUGGGGAAUUUUGGACAAUGGGCGAAAGCCUGAUCCAGCCAUUCCGCGUGCAGGAUGAAGGCCCUCGGGUUGUAAACUGCUUUUGUACAGAACGAAAAGGUUUCUAUUAAUACUAGGAGCUCAUGACGGUACUGUAAGAAUAAGCACCGGCUAACUACGUGCCAGCAGCCGCGGUAAUACGUAGGGUGCAAGCGUUAAUCGGAAUUACUGGGCGUAAAGCGUGCGCAGGCGGUUAUAUAAGUCAGAUGUGAAAUCCCCGGGCUCAACCUGGGAACUGCAUUUGAGACUGUAUAGCUAGAGUACGGUAGAGGGGGAUGGAAUUCCGCGUGUAGCAGUGAAAUGCGUAGAUAUGCGGAGGAACACCGAUGGCGAAGGCAAUCCCCUGGACCUGUACUGACGCUCAUGCACGAAAGCGUGGGGAGCAAACAGGAUUAGAUACCCUGGUAGUCCACGCCCUAAACGAUGUCGACUGGUUGUUGGGUCUUAACUGACUCAGUAACGAAGCUAACGCGUGAAGUUGACCGCCUG